Molecule: long non-coding RNA, 161 nt
Organism: Melitaea cinxia (Glanville fritillary)
Lineage: Eukaryota; Metazoa; Arthropoda; Insecta; Lepidoptera; Nymphalidae
Exons: 2
Source: RefSeq, a predicted model, not a curated record
GUGGUGGAUUAAGUUCCGAUCCUUACCCUACAUAAGGAAAGAGGCCUAUGCCCAGCAGUGGAAUAUUACAAACUGAAGCGUAGCGUACCUUAAUUCUAUAUGGAAAAGGUUUUUAGACCGAGUUGGUUUAGCUGGAGCUCGAAAAUACAGUUCUGCAAGAA